This 253-nucleotide ribosomal RNA is filed under the name uncultured bacterium. RNAcentral's name for it is "partial 16S ribosomal RNA". It matches the Rfam family "Bacterial small subunit ribosomal RNA", at positions 524 to 776 of the family's 1533-position model. The record is from RNAcentral.
GACAGAGGGUGCAACCGUUGUUCGGAAUUACUGGGCGUAAAGCGAGUGUAGGCGGUCUUGUAAGUCGGGUGUGAAAGCCCCGGGCUCAACCCGGGAAGUGCACUCGAAACUGCGAGGCUAGAGUAUCGGAGAGGUUGGUGGAAUUCUCGGUGUAGAGGUGAAAUUCGUAGAUAUCGAGAGGAACACCGGUGGCGAAGGCGGCCAACUGGACGAAUACUGACGCUGAGACUCGAAAGCGUGGGGAGCAAACAGG